This is a small nuclear RNA of Dermacentor albipictus, 191 nucleotides long. RefSeq annotates it as U2 spliceosomal RNA. Lineage: Eukaryota; Metazoa; Arthropoda; Arachnida; Ixodida; Ixodidae. The record is from RefSeq and is a predicted model, not a curated record.
ACACGGCCGACGCGGGUCAAAGUGCAGUAUCUCGUCUUAUCAGCUUAAUAUCUCAUACAGGUGCUGUUUGGACCCAAGAUAUUAAACUUAUGGGAGUGCAAGCUGCAAGUUGGUGGAGUGCUUGAAGCUUGCUUCAGCUCCGCCGUGGGUCGGCCCGGCAUUGCCCUAUCUCCGGAAUCGGGCCACGGUUU